AGUCGUAACAAGGUUUCCGUAGGUGAACCUGCGGAAGGAUCAUUACUGAGUGAGGGCCCUCUGGGUCCAACCUCCCACCCGUGUUUAUUGUACCUUGUUGCUUCGGUGCGCCCGCCUCACGGCCGCCGGGGGGCUUCUGCCCCCGGGUCCGCGCGCACCGGAGACACUAUUGAACUCUGUCUGAAGAUUGCAGUCUGAGCAUAAACUAAAUAAGUUAAAACUUUCAACAACGGAUCUCUUGGUUCCGGCAUCGAUGAAGAACGCAGCGAAAUGCGAUAACUAAUGUGAAUUGCAGAAUUCAGUGAAUCAUCGAGUCUUUGAACGCACAUUGCGCCCCCUGGUAUUCCGGGGGGCAUGCCUGUCCGAGCGUCAUUGCUGCCCUCAAGCACGGCUUGUGUGUUGGGCUCCGUCCCCCCGGGGACGGGUCCGAAAGGCAGCGGCGGCACCGAGUCCGGUCCUCGAGCGUAUGGGGCUUUGUCACCCGCUCUGUAGGCCCGGCCGGCGCCAGCCGACAACCAAUCAUCCUUUUUUCAGGUUGACCUCGGAUCAGGUAGGGAUACCCGCUGAACCUAAGCAUAUCA
RNAcentral lists this unclassified non-coding RNA (581 nucleotides) under Penicillium glabrum. RNAcentral describes it as "sequence contains 18S rRNA gene, ITS1, 5.8S rRNA gene, ITS2, 28S rRNA gene". The stretch from base 219 to 372 matches the Rfam family "5.8S ribosomal RNA". Lineage: Eukaryota; Fungi; Ascomycota; Eurotiomycetes; Eurotiales; Aspergillaceae. The record is from RNAcentral.